GCUCAGGUGGUGGAAUUGGCAGACACGCCAGACUUAGGAUCUGGUGCCGCAAGGCGUAAGGGUUCGAGUCCCUUUCUGAGCACCA
This 85-nucleotide transfer RNA is filed under the name Puniceicoccales bacterium. Its description in RNAcentral is "tRNA-Leu". It matches the Rfam family "tRNA". Rfam says of the family: Transfer RNA (tRNA) molecules are approximately 80 nucleotides in length. Their secondary structure includes four short double-helical elements and three loops (D, anti-codon, and T loops). The record is from RNAcentral. Lineage: Bacteria; Pseudomonadati; Verrucomicrobiota; Opitutia; Puniceicoccales.